UUUGAAAUUAUAAAUAUACGUAGUAAUAAGAAAAUUGCUAAGAAAAUUUAAGUGGAAAAUAUUAAAGAAAACAAUAUCAAAUACUUAUUCAUUUUCCUCAAACUAUUAAAAAUUACUUCGAUUAACUUUUUUCAUUUUUCUUUCACCUAACUUAAAUUUUGUGUGUAUGUAGUAGUUCUUUAUCUUCGAUAUUAGUUUUGAUCUUUAUCAAUGCUCUCAGUUGAUAGCUCUGAAUCAACUAAUAGCAUUUUUUUUCGAAAAGUGAAAAAAAUUAUUCUACAUUACAAUAUUAUUAGCUAAUAGCCGUCUAACUGAAAAUAAUCUUAUGCAUAAUAGUAUUUUUUAAUAAAUGGCAAAUAACAUUUUAUAAAAACAAGAACAUGACGUAUUUGUUUUAUCAUUAUUGAAUUAAAAAAUAACUUCUAUUUAGACUUCUAUUAACUUUACUAUUAACGUAGCACUUUUUUCGUAUAGUAAUCAAUAAUCCUCAUUUAUUUCAUGAAUGUUACAAUCAAGAUAUAACGAUGUUUAAUAUUUCUUUUUUUCUCGAUAUUUUUCUCUAGUUACAUUAUUUCAAAACAAUUCUUUUUUUUACGAAACAAUUACUUUUAAAUUUUGCUUUAAUAGAAAAAUAUGGAUGGUUAAAUACCAUUGUAUUUUCAGAAAAAUUUUGUUCCUCUUUCUUUUAUUUUAUAUGAAGUAUUUCCGAUAUCUGUGAAUGAAAUAAUGAUUCUUUAUUCAAGAUUCAACUAACAUCUGCAUUCCAAAUUAAUAGUUUGUAACUAACAAUUUGAUCAAUUUCAUUUUUAUUUUACUCUGUUUUAAUUUAGUUUUGGUAUUUAACUUUAGAUAAUUUAUAUUUGUACAUUUGUAACAUAAGAGGAUGGUUUAAAAUUUUAUAAGAUAGACUUAAACAAGAAUAUACAAAUCCGUCAUUAUUUUAUCGUAAUACAAGCUAGUUUGAAAUACCGUAAGAGCGUUAAUAUGUAGUAUUAAUUAAGUAGGUACUAAUUAAUUCUGAUCGCUCAUGCGAGUUUAUCUUAACACAAGUGGCAGAGCUAGCGACGGAUGGCAGAUGAUGGCUCUGCCCUCAAAUUUUUUUCGGCGAGUGUAACGUUGCGUGUCAUCGCAUAAAGUAUCGUGCUAACGUAAUGUGCAACACCAAUGCAAAAACCGAGCGAUGAUAUUUUAAUGGCGACAGCGACGAUGGCGUCGCGCGCGCUGCCAGGAAUGAGAGACUCUUCGACUUCGGACGAGCCGAAGUUGAAGCGCGCGUUUCGGAAUUCAUUAGGCUUAACGUAUGCGGGAGAUUAAUUCAAGGGGCAGCAAAGCGGCCAGACGCUGCUUUACAAGUGCGGAAAAAGGGCGCCAAGGAGGAAUAAAUGUAUGCCAGGACGAUCGUCGACGCCCGCGAGAAACAAAGGGCUUGCCGGAGUUUGCGUCAGCGCAAGUAACAUGGUGUUAAUCAUCAUUUAAGCCAUCGGUAGCCAAAUUGUGAUCGAGGACAUAAAAGACCGAUAACUGCUCUCCCCCAAAAAAUUAUAGGAGAAAAGUACUAUUUUUAAAAAAUAUCUAACUUAAAAGAAAUAUAGGAAAAAGCAUUCUAUAUCUACUUCUAUAUUUAUCAAAUGAUCUUGAUUUUUGUAUAAAUUAAUAGAGAAUUUGACAAUGGAGUUAUUUAUAUCAUCGUGCGUAUGCGUGUUGGCACGCAAAAUUUUCUCUUAAAAUUUACAUUCGAAUUCUUAGUGAUCAUAAAUAAACAAAAGCUAAAAAAAUUUAAUUAUAAUUUUAAUAAAAUAUUUUCAAGGGUGAUAAAACUCUUUCCAUGUUGUUCCAUGAUCACCGUGAUUCUGAAGAUAAAUUCUAAGACAAAAUUCUCUUUAUGUAGUGUAUACAUGUUUCCGUCGAAUCUUAGUCAUAAAGUUAAGCCAAGUAUAAAAUAGCCGUAUCCUCGAAAUGACUUCAAAACAAUUGUGUGAUUUGCAAAUGUUAUAAUUACAGUGAUUUAGGGCACUUCUUUAUGGAAGGACUUUAUGCGACAUGCGCAUUAGAGGAAUACCGCGCGGAAACAGUUUAUCGCAUUUAUCCCAUCCUGGAUGAAGGCAAAUUAAUGAUAAUAAGAGCGCAGAGCUAUAAUUCGUAUAGAAUUAGCUACGAAUCAUCUCUCCUGCUGACUGAUCGUUAUCGGCAAUUUGCGACGUUUGCUCCCCCGUGGGAUUCGAGAUCUCGGGGUGUAUAUCUUCUUCCCCGGUUCGUUUCGCCUCUCUACACAUUUGUAUUACACGAAUGGAAUCUCGUUGGCAAAGAAUCAUUUCCGCGAUCACACAAGGGACAGAUAAGUAAAUUGUACACCGAUAAAUUUUAAUACAAUACAAUUUACUAAUGGAUAAAUAAUUAUACUGAAAUAAUAUAUGCUUGCCUACAGUAAAAACUUUUGUGUUAAAUUUUAACACAAGAUAAAUAUGUUAGAAAUAACACAAAUAUUAUGAAAAUAAUUAACACAAAAAUUUAAAACUGAUGAAAAUGUAAUUUGAAAGCAAAUUGUAGAACCAUAUUUCCUUAAUAAAAUUAAUUAAUGUACAAUAAUUAAUAUGCUAAAUUAAAUGUACUCUUUAUUAAUUUAUUUUGAAACAUUUACAUUGUAAAAUUAUAUUCUCUUUCUCAAAUCAAGUUGAACUUUUAUAACUAAAAAUCAUGAAUUCCAUAUUUGAUCCAUGUUCCGUGAUUUGUCUUGACAAAAGUACUCUCGGUGAUUUGCCUUUUGAGACGUGAUGAUCAAUUGAAAAUCUAAUAUGUUCUAAAUGAAUUUGAAUCUUUGGCGAUUAUCAUUCUUAGCUAAAACUACUUAAACUACAGUAAAUAAAACUAUAUUAUUUUUAUGUUAUUUAUUUAUCUCUAAAUUGUAUUAAUUUAACAUUAGAAAAUGUUGAAUAUCAAUUUAUUACAAAAUAUUUAAAUAACACGUUCACAUUCCAUUAAAUUAAUACUUGAAUAUCUUAAAAAUUGAACACCAAAUCAUCUAUUUUGUAAAUGCAAAGGUGAUCUAUCUUCCAUAACAGGCCCAGUUUCAAAUCAUUUUGAUAUAGUUACGGAUAUAAGAAAGACUCUAAAAGACCGGCUAAAAGUUAUCGAAAUUUAAAAACCUGCAUACUUGUUAGAUUAUUCUAUUUUUACGAAUAAAUAACAAUUUUGGUCAUGAAUAUCCAAAUUUUGGCUCUGAAAUCUGCUACAAAGGAAAAAAAUAACGAAAGAUUUGAGUUAUAACAGUUUAUGUAGCGAAAAUGAUCAUAUUUUGUUACAGUUUUAGAUAUGAAAUAACUUUAAAACAGUAAAUAGAAUUUUAAGACUAAACAGUAAAUAAAAAUUAAUAAAAUAACUUUUAAACUUAAUGAAAGAAUCAUGUUUAAAUUUUAUCAAGAUAUUGAUAACUUAUUGAUAAAAUAACUUGUAAAUUUUUUACAUUUUCAGUAAUACUUUGAAAUGUGACACAUAUCCUCUUAAAUACAGAUAAAGAAAUACGAAUAGAAUCAUGCGGGAGCGAUUUAGAACAGAAGCGGCAACGAUGAGAAAGAGAGGAGCGGCCGUUGAGUCUCAAUGCGGAGAAUUUCGAAAUCGCUAACAAUCGGUGGCAAGCGAGAUCCAUUGAUGUGCGACCGUGCAUAUGAAUAUAACUGCCGAGGGAUAGAAACACUCUCGAAGAAUGAUGGUUAUGAGAAAAGGAGUGCUUGAACACGGACGAUGGUCAGACUCCUGCGGUUCCAAUUACGAUUGAAAGGCGCUCCUGUUUGUUCACCUCCUACAACUGCGGACUCUUCAGUGCCUCAUAGAACCGUACUCUAACCCCAUAGCCACUUUUGAGUUCGCUCUUACAUUUUCAUAAUGCAGUUUGUCGAUGUCGGGAAACGGAACGACACCGAUUACCCGACGUAACCGUGUUCCUGCUCUCAUGCAAAAUGCCGAGUAAUCAAAGGAACGAUUGUCAUCACAAAGGUGCUUGAUUGGCUCGUUUAUGGUACGGUAAUGCUUGGGCUACCGGAUGACACAGAAUCCUGCGAAGAAACACAAGUCUCUCGCUCUUCUAGAGAGUUUCCACGAAAUUGCAUGAAUAUAGUCAUUGGCAGCAUUAAGGUGCAUCGAGUUAUCAUGUUUUAUUUCCUAGUUACUAAGCUGUAACAAUAAUUAUAAAUAUCUAUAAAAUAUAAAUGUAGUAAAUAUAAGAUAAAUAAAAUUAAUAUAACGAAA
Long non-coding RNA from Monomorium pharaonis (pharaoh ant), 4242 nucleotides. RefSeq lists it as uncharacterized. The record is from RefSeq and is a predicted model, not a curated record. NCBI's taxonomy places the organism in Eukaryota, Metazoa, Arthropoda, Insecta, Hymenoptera, Formicidae. The transcript has 3 exons.